Molecule: non-coding RNA, 515 nt
Filed under: Pongo abelii (Sumatran orangutan)
Lineage: Eukaryota; Metazoa; Chordata; Mammalia; Primates; Hominidae
Source: RNAcentral
GCAUGUGAGAACUUUUGGCUGAUGAAUACAAGAUAACGCUCAUUCAUUCUCUUCAUUGCUAUGAAAUCAGUUUUUCCACUGCCUCCUGCAGAACCUCAACACAUCACUAGGUGGCAACAUCCCUACACCAUAUCGGUUUAGAAACCACGGUUAGGAGAAGCAGCAAAACACGCGGCAUCCCAGUAUGAUUUAGAAAGUAAAGUUUACAAUCUUUGAGGCCUGGCUGACUCAUGGAACAACUAGGACAAGAAACAAAGACAAAGAACACACACCUGACUGGACAGAGAUAAACCAAGAGCUGAGAGUUUUGGAAACAAGGCUGGAGCUGAGGAAAAGGACUGGGAACACAAACCUGUAACAAACAACAAACUCUUACAACAGAAAACAAGCCACUCCUGGCCAUCAAGAAACCCACAAAUCUCAGAAGCAAAAGCAAAACAAAUGAAAAUACAAACCAAAUAGUCUCUAUUACCUUCAUGCCUGUUGGGUCCCAAUAAAGGAAUCAUUCCAAUAAA